UACGUGGGGUGCAAGCGUUGUUCGGAGUUACUGGGCGUAAAGCGCGUGUAGGCGGUUCGCUAAGUUCGAUGUGAAAGCCCUGGGCUUAACCCAGGAACUGCAUUGAAAACUGGCGGACUUGAGUCCGGGAGAGGGUCGCGGAAUUCCUGGUGUAGAGGUGAAAUUCGUAGAUAUCAGGAGGAACACCGGUGGCGAAGGCGGCGACCUGGACCGGUACUGACGCUGAGACGCGAAAGCGUGGGGAGCAAACAGG
This 253-nucleotide ribosomal RNA is filed under the name uncultured bacterium. RNAcentral describes it as "partial 16S ribosomal RNA". It matches the Rfam family "Bacterial small subunit ribosomal RNA", at positions 524 to 776 of the family's 1533-position model. The record is from RNAcentral.